AAAUACAGACAAAACUCUGCAAGUCCAAGACUUCAAGCUCCAUUACCUCGAUUCAUGUCUCUCCUCUCCGAAGAUGGGGACCGCCAGUCGCCCCGGCAAGCGGUAGCCACACUCCCUUUACCUCUCAUUCUCUUCUCUCUCUCUCUCUUCUCUCUCUCUCUCUCUCUGCGCGCGCGCGCUCCGGUACGUAAAAAGUUCCCAGAAAAGAAAAUGCAGCGCUUGAAUUUGAUGUUGUAUAAGCUUGGUUAUCCCAUAAGGUGUGUCCUUUUUGCUUCCAGUUUUGUACUUGAGCUGAUUAGGUUUGGUUUUUGGAACCCUAGGGCGAUGGCUCGAAGCCUAACGCUCCCGAAUUACGGCUGCUAGCUCGUUGGAAAUACUUUACCAGAUCAAGGUACCUUAACUUUUGUAUUGGCAAUCCCUGAAUUCAAUAGCUUUUGCUUAAUUUAGUGUUCCGUUCGAAAUUGGGAAUGAUGAGCCCAGUUUCAUUGCUUGAGAAAAUUAGUGUGGCAUUCGGCUCUUUCGCAGUAAUGGCGACUUUUUUUAUUCUUUUGCUUAAUCCAGGUAUUAAGGUUUGCUUAAAAUUUAGUCCGCUUCAGUUAUUAGUUUUUAGUAUUGAGGGGUAUGAUUGAAUGGGAACAAUCGAAACCUUUUCGAAGAAACGCCCUAAUAUCCAGUUUAAAAGAAGAGGGGGUAACAACAACUACAAGAAAGGAAAGUGGAAUGAUUCAAGCAGUAAGCAACCUUCAGAGGAUUAUCAAUUGCUCAACACUGUGUAUCGUAUUCUCUGCCCUUCUAAAAGCUCAGUGGUGUUAUUGGGAAGGUUUGCAACAUAGUCAAAGCCCUUAGAGGAGACCCCAGCAAACAUUUAGGUUUCUGAUUCUGUUCUUGGCUCAGAUGAGGGAGUAAUUCUUAUCUUUAGCUCUCCAACAAAAAUUUCAAGCAAACAAAAUAAACCAUGAAAAUUUAGCUGAGGGAAAUCAAAUGGAGCCGCAUUGUGCUACCCUGGAUGCUCUGUUGAAAGUUCAUGACAGGAUAGUAGAGGAAGAUCGUUUUGGUGGAGUUACAUUUGAUGAUGACAACAAGAACAGUGUUGUUACCACAAGACUUCUAGUUCCAAACAAUAUGGUCCAGUGGUCCAUGUAUGCAGUCACUUUGUGCCAGUGAAGUCUGCCGCUGGAAACUUGUGGGUGUAUUGAGAUUUUUCAUGUCUUCUUUUUACAUUUGUAAAAGCAUAUGAUUUUGUAGCUUGGUUACCUCAAUCUUCAAACAUGCUUAUAUGAAACUCCCAUGAAAAGUUCUUUGUUAUAUGUUUUUUGGUGCCUAUAACUUCCAACAAAAGUGAGAGAUAUCUGCAAAACCAAAUAUGACAAAGAGGGCACUUUAUGAAGUGUCUAAUCUACUGCAUCAGAAUCCUAGGAAGGACAAGCCUCCUUCAAUCUUUCCUAUGCCUUUCUUUCACCUAGAAAUCCAAUGUUGUCUAAUCGGGCUCCUUUCCACAUUAUGUCGCCAAUGCCACAGGAGGAUAUGAAAACCGUCGUGGAUUUGCCCAAUGGUGGUUUUAAUGGUUUUCCUCCUGGACAUGGGGGUGAAGCUCUAGCUCUAGCUGAGUUUUCAUGAAAAUUUUGUGUUCAGCUGGGACAUUUGGUGGGAUUAUUGACAAGGGUGGAGGCUUUGUUGUUGUUGUUGUUGUGGUUUUAAUGUAAAACAAUUACAACUGGAAACAGGAGCCAAAAUUCAUGUUCAGGAUGCAUCAAAGGAUUGAGAAGAAAGUGUAAUUCCCGUCUCUGCUUUUGAGGUAUGCCAUCUUGUGAUACACGGCCAUUUCCUGUCUUUAACUUCUUUUCAUAUUGGCUUAGAAGUGUUAUUUGCAUGGACAACGUACUGUGCACCAACUGUUUGCUGGUGCCUGUGGAUCAAGAAUAUGCCAGCAGUGGAUCACCUUGCUCAUACUUUUUCAGGCUUUGUGGAAUCCCAGAUCACAAAUAAUUGUGACAAUUCUUGAGCUUCAGAACAGAACAAGUGAAUUCCGAUAAAGGCAUAAUCACUACUAGGAUUCUUGAACCAUCAAAUAAAGUUUGAUGCCUCCUUGGACAAGGAGGUAAGUUAUAAAUGAGACGAGAAGGAGAACCCAGGCUGAUAAUCGUGUUUACUCGAAGGAUGAUAGGCCAACUUUUUGGUUUAUCUUGGUUCGGAGGAGUAUUAAUUUGAUUGCCUUCGUUUUGCAGUUAGUUUUAUUUGAUUUUUUUUCAUGAGAUUGACAACUUUUCUUCUUUUGUACUUAUAUUUUUUAUGUAGAGUUUAUUGUUUAACUGAAAGGUCACAAAUUACUUGAGAGGUUAAAUAAAAUUGAACUUUCUAGAUAUGUGACACCAUGAGCAUCACUGUCGAUAUCUUGAUUAUUAUCCCAAUUCCCAUCAUAUGAUUAUCAAGUUAAAAGUUAUGCAUGCUCAAAGCACUGUUUAUGGCAGAACUGGUGAAAGGAGGCAUUCUGUUGAUGGCAAGAAAUGGUUCUCAUAAGGUGAAGCUUGCAGCAAUGAGUAAUUGGGUAUCUCCAAAUGAGAUUCAACUGAUAUUUGCCAUUUUGACCUCAUAUUUAUUACAGAACACGGAUGUCUUCCUUUAUGUAUGAGUAUUAGAUACAUUAUAAAAUGUAUUAUGUGCACCUGGUUGCUUUUUAGAUGGAAUUCUAGGCAAUUAAGAUGAUAUAUGACCUGCUUAGAAAUAACAGUGCAUGCAAUGCACAGCUUAUGUAUGAAAAUGCUCAUACAUUGAACCAGAAUUCUUGUCAAGACGAUAAUAAAAUAACAAAGUAAAUCUAGAUAAGUGGAAAUGACAUGUCUAUGAAUGAUUGCUAAAAGUUCCUUGUCAACCAGAGAUUUAUCAGAUUCCUCCAACUGCUUCUGGGUAUGGAAGUAUUUAUACUUGCGUACAAAGUAAUACUCAUAUUUUAUCACUCUGAUUUUUGUGCUUGUUUUAUGUUGUUCCAGCUAUCCAAGGGUCAACUAUGCUAUGGAGGGUAGGAUCCCAACGAAUGCAGUCGAUUUUCCUGGAACAGUAGGGCGCAGCAUUUCCACUAUUAGAGAGCCUUUUGAAAUUGCUAUUUAGGUUGACGUAUCAAGAGCGCAGCUCCAAGACUCCCACGGUGGUGGCUCUGAGCAUUCUGUUGAGAUCGGUGGUUCUGAUCAUUUGAAUGCAGCACAGAAUACCCUUCGGGCAUUCUUGGCUUCUGCAGAUCAAAAUGUGAGUUCUCUAUCUGGUUCCUACCGCUAUGUAAAUGCUCCGCAAGUCUCCUACCACGAGAUGAAUCCUCAGCCCAGCGCCUACCAAAUCAAUCCUCAGCAUGGCCCCUACAAACUCAAUCCUCAGCACAGCCCAUACCGAAUCAAUCCUUAGGACAGCCCAUACCGAAUCAAUCCUCAGCAUAGCCCUUAUCAAGUCAAAGCUUCGUACAGUCCCUACCAAAUAAAUGCUCAGGAAAGCCCCUAACAAUUGAGCUUUCAACAAGGAUCAUACCCAAACACGAAUGCUCCUUAGGGCGCCGACCGCAGCAACCAUAGUUUGCAACAAAGCGCCUACCAUUACCGGGCUCUAAUUUGGGAAUCUACUAUAAUUUACUUUAGUCCUUGAGAUUGAAUCAAUGGAAAUUGUUCUUGAUAUUGUCCACCAUUCAUUAUUUUGGUUAUUCUGUUAAAAAACUCCGUUAAAUGUCUCGGAGCUCUUGGUCGGAAGAUUGGGCAAUUUUCAAA
Non-coding RNA from Malus domestica (apple), 3746 nucleotides. NCBI's taxonomy places the organism in Eukaryota, Viridiplantae, Streptophyta, Magnoliopsida, Rosales, Rosaceae. The record is from RefSeq and is a predicted model, not a curated record.